UAGGGAAUCUUCGGCAAUGGACGAAAGUCUGACCGAGCAACGCCGCGUGAGUGAAGAAGGUUUUCGGAUCGUAAAACUCUGUUGUUAGAGAAGAACAAGGACGUUAGUAACUGAACGUCCCCUGACGGUAUCUAACCAGAAAGCCCCGUCUAACUACGUGCCAGCAGCCGCGGUAAUACGUAGGUGGCAAGCGUUGUCCGGAUUUAUUGGGCGUAAAGCGAGCGCAGGCGGUUUCUUAAGUCUGAUGUGAAAGCCCCCGGCUCAACCGGGGAGGGUCAUUGGAAACUGGGAGACUUGAGUGCAGAAGAGGAGAGUGGAAUUCCAUGUGUAGAGGUGAAAUGCGUAGAUAUAUGGAGGAACACCAGUGGCGAAGGCGGCUCUCUGGUCUGUAACUGACGCUGAGGCUCGAAAGCGUGGGGAGCAAACAGG
RNAcentral lists this ribosomal RNA (429 nucleotides) under Gemmatimonadota bacterium. RNAcentral's name for it is "Gemmatimonadetes bacterium partial 16S ribosomal RNA". It matches the Rfam family "Bacterial small subunit ribosomal RNA", at positions 355 to 776 of the family's 1533-position model. Lineage: Bacteria; Pseudomonadati; Gemmatimonadota. The record is from RNAcentral.